GUACUUACAACUGGUAUACCUGUAAGGCAAGAUGUUGCCGACAGACAUGGCAACUCUACUUCCAGCUCGGACUGUCUCUGUGACACAGGCGUGUGGUGGGCACAGAGCAGCCAAUACAGAGCCAUCGCUGGCUGCUCAAUAGACCUCUGUUGCCACUGGAUACUAGUUCACAAUUUCGUGUCCCCUUCCACCCUGCAAUGGUAUCAGAAGUCUGACAGCAUGCUCAAUGUACUACACUGAACAAAAAUACAAACGCAAUAUGUUAUGUGUUGGUCCCAUGUUUCAUGAGGUGAAAUAAAAGAUCC
Molecule: long non-coding RNA, 305 nt
Organism: Oncorhynchus tshawytscha (Chinook salmon)
Lineage: Eukaryota; Metazoa; Chordata; Actinopteri; Salmoniformes; Salmonidae
Source: Ensembl